GACUUUCAAUUAAUAGGGUUCAACCUUUUUGGCAUAAAGAAAAACGAAAAAAAAAAAGAAGGGGGCAAAACAAAAAUUAUUGCGGCGUCGAGGGAUGAAGAACAAGCUUCAGGUGUGGUGAAGUAAAAAACUUCCAACAUCAAAGACUACUAUGGAAGGGUGCCUUAGUGUAUAUGGAGGGAAAAACUUGAGUAAAGAAUUGGACGUAUGAAUCAUCUCUACAGGCUGACAGUCGAUAGAAAAUGCUGAGCAAAGCUGCUGGCUUGAAGAGGGGGGCUAAUCCGUAACAUCAACUGCAGAAGAAUGAGGUUCGACAAGAUGGUUGGAAACGUUUAAUGACCCUUUGCAACUUGCCAAAUACUUGCAGAAGCUUUGUACUAUGGAACAAACUUUUGUAUUGCACAAAAAAUGGUGAACUUCUCUAUGAAGGAGGGUAUAA
Long non-coding RNA from Capsicum annuum, 439 nucleotides. RefSeq lists it as uncharacterized. Lineage: Eukaryota; Viridiplantae; Streptophyta; Magnoliopsida; Solanales; Solanaceae. The transcript has 2 exons. The record is from RefSeq and is a predicted model, not a curated record.